GAUGAACGCUGGCGGCGUGCCUAAUACAUGCAAGUCGAACGGACAGACCAGAAGCUUGCUUUUCGGUUGAUAGCGGCGGACGUGAGAGUCACACGUGGAAAAACUACCUAUAAGACGGGGAUAACUUCGGGAAACCGGAGCUAAUACCGGAUAAUAUUUUGAACCGCGUGGGUCAAAAGUGAAGGACGGUCUUGGGGUCACGUAUUGAUGGAUCCGCGCUGCAUUAGCUCGUUGGGACGGUAACGGGUUUCCAAGGCAACUAUGCCUAGGCGACCUCAGAGGGUGAUCGGCGACACUGGAACUGAGACACGGUCCAGACUCCUACGGGAGGCAGCAGUAGCGAAUCCUACGCAAUGGGCGAGAGCCUGACAGAGCAACGCCGCGUGAGUGAUGAAGGUCUUCGGAUCGGAAAACUCUGUUAUUAGUGAAUAACAUAUGUGUAAUGAGCUGUGCAGAUCUUGACGGUACCUAAUCAGAAAGCCCCGGCUAACUACGUG
This 497-nucleotide ribosomal RNA is filed under the name uncultured bacterium. RNAcentral describes it as "partial 16S ribosomal RNA". It matches the Rfam family "Bacterial small subunit ribosomal RNA", at positions 28 to 507 of the family's 1533-position model. The record is from RNAcentral.